UUCCUGUCAUUGAAGUUCUUUUGUUUACUCUUUUUUAAUAAACCAUAAUAAAACGAAGAAUUUUGUGUAUUAUAAACCAAUUGAAGAAAAAGUGAAAUGAACGAGAAAAAAAACGUAAGUUUAUACAUGGCUGCUUUGUUGUACGAGUUUACAAAACUUCAACUGAAUUUGAAGCUAUGGGUUUUAUGGGUGAACAUAAUUGUUUGUAAAAAUGUAUAUGUCUGCAAGUUUUAACCACAUGUAAAAUGUUCCUAAUAUAUCAUAUUUUUUUAAAAAUAUGUAUGUACUUAUAUACAUGAAAUAUUUAUAUGUUGUUGUUGAUUUAAGACACAUUUUUCAAUGGAAUUGUCUGCAAUUCUACACAAGGAGUUCUUUGUGAGUACUUUACCCCCUGAAAUAGAAUUGUCGGUAAGGUCCACAAUAUCGUAUAUCCUCAAUAUAUCGGCAUCUUCCGAUAUUGGGUAUUUUUGUUGAUUUUAACAGAAUUUUUAAUGGACUUUUUUUUGUAAAUUUCCUAAUUCGUUUUAAACGGUGGAGGUUAUUCAAAGUUCGGCCCGGCCGAACUUACUGCUUUUUUACUUAUUUAAAAAUAUGUAUACGCUUAUAUACAUGAAAUGUUUAUAUAAGAUACGAUCUAAAUUUUUUAAUAAAACAGUAUUUAGUUUAAAAAAAGUGUUUUAUUGACAAUUUUGGUUAGAAAAAAAUGCAUAGCGCUUUUUACGCUUUUUUAAGGAAAAUUUUUACGCCAUUUACGCUUUUCUGGUUUUUAAUUACGCUUUUAGCUCUCAAAAUGUUGGCAACACUGGCUACAGUUACAUUUACACGUUGAUUCUUGUGUUAAUAAAGCUAAAACUUUACUAGGCUUCAUCAAGCAUUGGUCCAAAGAGUUUAAUGAUCCUUAUGUAACCAAAAGAUUGUUUGUUAGUCUAGUUCAUCCAGUAUUAGAAUAAGCUUUGCGUGGUUUAAAUUGGAAUCCCUCUGAACUUCUUCCGCCAUACGAGAGCCGUUUAAAGUUGAUUAAGAGCAUUAUUUAUCAUUAAAUUAAUACGAUUAAUUUAUUGAUUCUCCAAGAAGAAAUAAUGAUCUUGAAAUGAGAUCACUUUGUGUAAUUUAUAACAGCUUAGGUAAUUCUAUUUCCUUAAAUAGUCCCUUGAACACAAUAAAAAAUUGUAUUGUACAUAUGUAAUUUA
Musca domestica (house fly) is the source of this 1190-nucleotide long non-coding RNA. RefSeq lists it as uncharacterized. The record is from RefSeq and is a predicted model, not a curated record. The transcript is spliced from 2 exons. Lineage: Eukaryota; Metazoa; Arthropoda; Insecta; Diptera; Muscidae.